RNAcentral lists this transfer RNA (72 nucleotides) under Pangasianodon gigas (Mekong giant catfish). Its description in RNAcentral is "tRNA-Glu". It matches the Rfam family "tRNA". From Rfam's summary of the family: Transfer RNA (tRNA) molecules are approximately 80 nucleotides in length. Their secondary structure includes four short double-helical elements and three loops (D, anti-codon, and T loops). The record is from RNAcentral. Lineage: Eukaryota; Metazoa; Chordata; Actinopteri; Siluriformes; Pangasiidae.
UCCCUGGAGGACUAGUGGUUAGGCCACAGCGCUCUCACUGCCACAGCCCGGGUUUGAUUCCCGGCCAGGGAA